RNAcentral lists this ribosomal RNA (371 nucleotides) under uncultured organism. RNAcentral's name for it is "bacterial SSU rRNA". It matches the Rfam family "Bacterial small subunit ribosomal RNA", at positions 526 to 897 of the family's 1533-position model. The record is from RNAcentral.
CGUAGGGUGCGAGCGUUAAUCGGAAUUACUGGGCGUAAAGCGUGCGCAGGCGGUUAUAUAAGACAGAUGUGAAAUCCCCGGGCUCAACCUGGGAACUGCAUUUGUGACUGUAUAGCUAGAGUACGGCAGAGGGGGAUGGAAUUCCGCGUGUAGCAGUGAAAUGCGUAGAUAUGCGGAGGAACACCGAUGGCGAAGGCAAUCCCCUGGGCCUGUACUGACGCUCAUGCACGAAAGCGUGGGGAGCAAACAGGAUUAGAUACCCUGGUAGUCCACGCCCUAAACGAUGUCAACUGGUUGUUGGGUCUUCACUGACUCAGUAACGAAGCUAACGCGUGAAGUUGACCGCCUGGGGAGUACGGCCGCAAGGGUUG